Molecule: ribosomal RNA, 465 nt
Filed under: uncultured bacterium
Lineage: Bacteria
Description: partial 16S ribosomal RNA
Rfam family: Bacterial small subunit ribosomal RNA
Source: RNAcentral
GACGAACGCUGGCGGCGUGCUUAACACAUGCAAGUCGAACGGAAAGGCCCUGCUUGCAGGGUACUCGAGUGGCGAACGGGUGAGUAACACGUGGGUGAUCUGCCCUGCACUUCGGGAUAAGCCUGGGAAACUGGGUCUAAUACCGGAUAGGAGCCAUUUUUAGGGUGAUGGUUGGAAAGUUUUUUCGGUGUAGGAUGAGCUCGCGGCCUAUCAGCUUGUUGGUGGGGUAAUGGCCUACCAAGGCGGCGACGGGUAGCCGGCCUGAGAGGGUGGGCGGCCACAUUGGGACUGAGAUACGGCCCAGACUCCUACGGGAGGAAGAAGUGGGGAAUAUUGCACAAUGGGCGCAAGCCUGAUGCAGCGACGCCGCGUGGGGGAUGACGGCCUUCGGGUUGUAAACUCCUUUCGCUAGGGACGAAGCUUUUUGUGGCGGUACCUAGAUAAGAAGCACCGGCUAACUACGUG